This 75-nucleotide transfer RNA is filed under the name bacterium. RNAcentral's name for it is "tRNA-Asp". It matches the Rfam family "tRNA". From Rfam's summary of the family: Transfer RNA (tRNA) molecules are approximately 80 nucleotides in length. Their secondary structure includes four short double-helical elements and three loops (D, anti-codon, and T loops). The record is from RNAcentral.
GGACCCGUAGCUUAGUUGGUCUAAAGCGCCGCCCUGUCACGGCGGAGAUCGCCGGUUCGAGCCCGGUCGGGUCCG